RNAcentral lists this ribosomal RNA (1372 nucleotides) under metagenome. RNAcentral's name for it is "bacterial LSU rRNA". It matches the Rfam family "Bacterial large subunit ribosomal RNA", at positions 1461 to 2824 of the family's 2925-position model. The record is from RNAcentral.
CCUGGGGGGGGACGGCGUUGCAAUGGUGAGCGGCACGAUUAGAAACGUCCGUAGGCGAUCAUCCGGUGAGGGAUAGGCAAAUCCGCCCUCACAAGCCGGGGGGUUGUCUCGACCGCGUUUAUGUUCGGGAAGUCAUCGGCGCGACGUCCAAGAAAAGCCUCUAAGGGUUGAAGCUCGAGUGACCGUACUAAAACUGACACAGGUAGGCGAGACGAGAAGUCUAAGGCGCUCGGGAGAACGCUGGUUAAGGAACUCUGCAAAUUGGCCCCGUAAGUUCGCGAUAAGGGGUGCCCUUGGGGGUGAAUAGCUCCUGGGGGUCACAGUAAAUCGGCUUCAGCGACUGUUUAUCAAAAACACAGGACUCUGCUAACUCGCAAGAGGAUGUAUAGAGUCUGACGCCUGCCCGGUGUCGGUAGGUUAAGGAAGGGGGUUAGCCGCAAGGCGAAGCUCGCGACCGAAGCCCCGAUAAACGGCGGCCGUAACUAUGACGGUCCUAAGGUAGCGAAGUUCCUUGUCGGGUAAGUUCCGACCUGCAUGAAUGGCGUAACGACUGAAGCACUGUCUCAACCAGCGACCCGGUGAAAUUGUAGUCGUGGUGAAGAUGCCACGUACCCGCAGUAAGACGGAAAGACCCCGUGAACCUUUACUGUAGGCUGAUAUUGGGCUGAGGUUUAUCUUGUGUAGGAUAGGUGGGAGGCUUUGAAGCGGGCACGCAAGUGCUCGUGGAGCCAACCUUGAAAUACCACCCUGGAUAUGCUUUAGUUCUAACCUCGAUUCCCGUGAAUCCGGGCGAGGAACAGUGUCAGUUGGGCAGUUUGACUGGGGCGGUCUCCUCCGAAAGAGUAACGGAGGAGUCCAAAGGUACCCUCAGCCUGGUUGGCAAUCAGGCAUUGAGCGCAAAGGUAGAAGGGUGCUUAACUGCGAGACUUAUCAGUCGAGCAGAUACGAAAGUAGGGCUUAGUGAUCCGGCGGUGCUGGAUGGAAAGGCCGUCGCUCAUCAGACAAAAGGUACUCCGGGGAUAACAGGCUUAUCGCUUCCGAGCGUCCAUAGCGGCGAAGCGGUUUGGCACCUCGAUGUCGGCUCAUCACAUCCUGGGGGUGAAGAAGCUCCCAAGGGUUUGGCUGUUCGCCAAUGAAAGUGGUACGUGAGCUGGGUUCAGACCGUCGUGAGACAGGUCGGUCCCUAUCUGCUGUGGGCGUACGAAACUUGCGGAGGUUCAUCUUUAGUACGAGAGGAUUUAGAAGGACGUUCCUCUGGUGUUCCAGUUGUCGCGCUAGCGGCACGGCUGGAUAGCUAAGAACGGAAAGGAUAAACGCUGAAAGCAUAUAAGCGUGAAGCCCGCUCCAAGAUUAGGUUUCGUAGAGCCAUUAA